GCAAGUCGAACGGCAGCACGGGAGCUUGCUCCUGGUGGCGAGUGGCGAACGGGUGAGUAAUACAUCGGAACGUACCCUGAAGUGGGGGAUAACGUAGCGAAAGUUACGCUAAUACCGCAUAUUCUGUGAGCAGGAAAGAGGGGGAUCGCAAGACCUCUUGCUUUAGGAGCGGCCGAUGUCGGAUUAGCUAGUUGGUGAGGUAAAGGCUCACCAAGGCGACGAUCCGUAGCGGGUCUGAGAGGAUGAUCCGCCACACUGGGACUGAGACACGGCCCAGACUCCUACGGGAGGCAGCAGUGGGGAAUUUUGGACAAUGGGCGCAAGCCUGAUCCAGCCAUGCCGCGUGAGUGAAGAAGGCCUUCGGGUUGUAAAGCUCUUUCGGUGGGGAAGAAAUGGCACGGAUUAAUACCCUGUGUUGAUGACGGUACCCGCAUAAGAAGCACCGGCUAACUACGUGCCAGCAGCCGCGGUAAUACGUAGGGUGCGAGCGUUAAUCGGAAUUACUGGGCGUAAAGCGUGCGCAGGCGGUUGUAUAAGUCAGAUGUGAAAUCCCCGGGCUCAACCUGGGAACUGCAUUUGAGACUGUACGGCUAGAGUUUGGCAGAGGGGGGUGGAAUUCCACGUGUAGCAGUGAAAUGCGUAGAGAUGUGGAGGAACACCGAUGGCGAA
Molecule: ribosomal RNA, 669 nt
Filed under: uncultured bacterium
Lineage: Bacteria
Description: bacterial SSU rRNA
Rfam family: Bacterial small subunit ribosomal RNA
Source: RNAcentral